Molecule: ribosomal RNA, 245 nt
Filed under: uncultured bacterium
Lineage: Bacteria
Description: partial 16S ribosomal RNA
Rfam family: Bacterial small subunit ribosomal RNA
Source: RNAcentral
UACAGAGGUGGCGAGCGUUGUUCGGAUUUACUGGGCGUAAAGGGCGCGUAGGUGGUUUCGUAUGUCGGAUGUGAAAUCUCACUGCUCAACGGUGAAACUGCAUUCGAAACUACGAGACUAGAGUGCAGGAGAGGAGAGCGGAAUUCUUGGUGUAGCAGUGAAAUGCGUUGAUAUCAAGAAGAACACCGGUGGCGAAGGCGGCUCUCUGGAAUGCUACUGACACUGAGGCACGAAAGUUGGGGGAG